This is a long non-coding RNA of Scylla paramamosain (green mud crab), 2455 nucleotides long. RefSeq lists it as uncharacterized. The record is from RefSeq and is a predicted model, not a curated record. The transcript is spliced from 2 exons. Lineage: Eukaryota; Metazoa; Arthropoda; Malacostraca; Decapoda; Portunidae.
UUUUUUUUUUUUUUUUUUUUUUUCCCUCCACUAAGAGAUGUCUGUAAAAUAGAAAUGUAUAUCAUACACUGCUGCAUCAUACUCUCUAACAAUUAUACUACUUGAUCCUCCUUUAUAAAAGUCAGGGGCUGUAUUCUACAAACCAUCAUAGCUAAGUCCAUUGGUCAUAGCAAAACAAAAUGGCGCAUUUCAGACAUAACUCUGCCAUAUAAACUUAUGGUUGUCCAUAAACUCCUAUUAUCAGUCAUAAAAUGCUAUAACAGGGUUCGCUCUGUCUUAGUGCUGCUUAUGGCCAUCAGAAGUCUGUCAACAUCAUGACAACAUAUCCAUAUAUACCAUAACGCAAUCUUCAACUGUUUUUUAUUAUUAAUAUAAGAAUAAAUAUUAGUAACUGUGAGUAAAUAAUGUCCUUCUUUGAGGCAAUAAAGUAUUAUUAUAAAUAAUUGCCAGGAGCAGUACAAUCAGUUUUCCUAAACAUAAACAAACCUUGCCUUGUGUGGCCUGCAUGACAGGCUCUCAGCCGUAAUCUUCUUCUUUAUAAUCAUGUUUCUUUCAAUUAGAUACAUUGUCUAAGUUUCCAAAAGUCAUAAUAUGAAGUUAAAACAAUUUAAAUCUAAAAAAAUAAUGUCAAGAAGCUAUUUCAUUCCAUAAAUUUAAAGUUGACCAAUUGUGAGCAUGCAUUCUAGUGGCAGAUGGUGGCUGAGAUAUGACUGACGACUUCUGAUGGCCAUAAGAAAGUCAUUCAUAAAAUCUGUUAGCUAUAGUCGACCAUAAACACUAUGUAUAAUAAGGAUUCAGGGGUACAAGUGAACACUCAUGGACUCAUGUGGUCACAAGUUAAAUUCCACAUUAAGACAUUUAUCUUGUGGGAGGGGGGAAGGGGUACUGCUCUCCUCUGACUCCAGUAGUGCUACAUGGUUUUCACUGACUACAUCUCAAGAUGCUUUUGAAAACCUUAUAAAUCAGAUGCCCAGCAGCCAGAAACACUACAUUGUGAGUCUGACAUGGCUGUAUCAAGCAAGGUGGUGGAUAACAUGAUGCAAUCAGGCCCAGGACAGGACAGACCGAUACAGGCAAAACCAAAUACUGUACUUUGUAUAACUGGGCACUUUAAUGCUACAGCAGAGUACAAAGACGCAAUACUUCAGUCACUCCAGUAAUCACCCCACUAGCAAGCAUAGAAUCUCCCCCCAGUCACAACUUCAGGCAGUUUCUUCAUGACAGAGCUGUCUGUACAUGGCUUUUUCUAUGCAUGGCACUCUAUGCACAACAUUGUCUAUGUACGGCUGUAGCGGCAUAGAAAAGGUACAGCAAUUCACAAAGGCAACAGAAAGCUGGGCACAACAGGGAACCACACUUCAGCCAGGCGAUGUGCCUCUUCUCUCUGUCGUCUCUUCUCUCUUUUUUAUUGUCUCACUGCCUUGCCCACUGCCUGCCGCUUGCCCUGUAUGAGAUGUGUCUGUUCUCCUUUCCAUUUUUUCUCAUACCCAUACUGCACAAUCAAUUACAUUUUUGCUCAUAUAAGUGUGUGCGCACACAUUCAUAACAAAUAUGAAUGCCUUUAUUCUCAGCACUCCAUUACCCACUCAAAUUAUUCAAAUUACUCACUUAUGGGUAAUUACCCCAAGGCUGGGAACCUCUGCUCUAGAUCAUGCCACUAACUAGCUGAUGGAAUAAUCAAUGCCUAUUUCAUUAAAUGUGCACUUAAUUAGAAAGUUGUUUAGUGAAAGGGAGCACAAUCUAUUUGCAAACAUGAUAUGAACAAAUUCGCAGAAAAUAGUGUGCCAUCUGCCUAAAUUGAUGCAUUUGACGUAUUUUCACUGGUGUUAUCUUUAAAAUUUUAAAAAGUAUUUUUCAUGUAUCUCACCAAGUGGGAAAUGAGUGUAUACUUGGAGUGAAUGACUGAGAGAACAGUGAUGAAAUGUACUGAUAGUAUGUCAGAAAUGCAUAUCUAGUCUUAAACAGUUGUAUUAUAUAGAAAUAUGUGCAGUAUUUCAAAUGUGCUAUGCUAAUUAUAAAAUUUUUGGUAAUUACAUAUUGUGAAAAUUUUUAUACAUUUUAAUUUAAGACUUAAUAAAUAAAACUUGGUAACCACUAUUGCCAGCAAUUUGCAAAUAUUGGUCUUGUCUCCAAUAAAAAACUUACUUCAAUAUGUUUUGAAGUUGACUUUUUAUGAAAAUGCAUAGAAUAUUUUGUUAAUAUCUUAGUAAAGACAUGAGAAGAUUCCAACAUAAAUUGUGAAUGUAUUAUCUACUUAAAAAAAGAAGUACUUCAAGGUGGCUUUUAUUUCAACCUACAUUUCACGAAGUACAAACAAUAACAAUAAUAAAUGUCUUUUAUUCAUAGUUGCUAUUUAUUUAUAUACCAGGUUGGCAUCUCCUUUAGUGAGUAGUAGCCAAAAUAAGAUCAUGCCUGAUGUAACUGUAGGAACAAAAUAAAUAAAAACAAAAGAGAA